CGUCUAUAUACGUAUAGCAUAUCAAUAAGCGGAGGAAAAGAAACUAACAAGGAUUCCCUUAGUAACGGCGAGUGAAGCGGGAAGAGCUCAAAUUUGAAAUCUUCAAGGUUCUACCUUGACGAAUUGUAGUUUAAAGAAGUGUUUUCUGUUAGAGGAGUAGCAAAAGUUCCUUGGAAUGGGACAUCAUAGAGGGUGAGAAUCCCGUAUUUGGUUAUUCUUUCUAGCUUUGUGAUACACUUUCAAAGAGUCGGAUUGUUUGGGAAUGCAGUCCAAAAUGGGUGGUAAAUUUCAUCUAAAGCUAAAUAUUGGCGAGAGACCGAUAGCGAACAAGUACCGUGAGGGAAAGAUGAAAAGAACUUUGAAAAGAGAGUUAAACAGUACGUGAAAUUGUCAAAAGGGAAGCGUUUGACACCAGUGUUGUUUUUCCGAAAAUCAAUUAAGAACGUGCUUGAUUUUGUGUUGUAUUGACCUUAUCAGCUUUCUUCACUCUUUUUCGAGUCUUUCUUAAUGCACUUUUCGGUUAACAAGUCAACAUCAAUUUCUUUUGUUGUAAAAGGGUAUUUGGAAGGUGGCUUUCUUUUCGGAGAAAGUGUUUAUAGCCUUAUACCUCUACAAUCGGAGAGAUUGAGGUCUGCAGCGUAGAUCCUUCGGGGCUAGAUACACUUGUGCUAAGUUAUAGCCUUUCAUAGACAACUUGUUGACUAUGUUUAGUCACUGUAGCUUACCCGCUUGUGCUAUUUUACCUACGCUUAGGAUGUUGAGUCAUCACACAUCUCU
This 777-nucleotide ribosomal RNA is filed under the name uncultured Neocallimastigales. Its description in RNAcentral is "partial large subunit ribosomal RNA". It matches the Rfam family "Eukaryotic large subunit ribosomal RNA", at positions 26 to 618 of the family's 3401-position model. The record is from RNAcentral. Lineage: Eukaryota; Fungi; Neocallimastigomycota; Neocallimastigomycetes; Neocallimastigales.